RNAcentral lists this transfer RNA (72 nucleotides) under Heterocephalus glaber (naked mole-rat). It matches the Rfam family "tRNA". From Rfam's summary of the family: Transfer RNA (tRNA) molecules are approximately 80 nucleotides in length. Their secondary structure includes four short double-helical elements and three loops (D, anti-codon, and T loops). Lineage: Eukaryota; Metazoa; Chordata; Mammalia; Rodentia; Bathyergidae. The record is from Rfam by way of RNAcentral.
GGAGGUGUAGCUCCACGGUAGAGUGCUUGCCUAGCAUAUGUGAAGCCCUGAGUUCAAUCCCCAGCACCCCCU